RNAcentral lists this transfer-messenger RNA (389 nucleotides) under Burkholderiales. RNAcentral describes it as "Achromobacter sp002902905 Standard tmRNA". It matches the Rfam family "transfer-messenger RNA". Rfam says of the family: Bacterial tmRNA, also known as 10Sa RNA or SsrA, is named for its dual tRNA and mRNA-like properties. Its role is to liberate the mRNA from a stalled ribosome. RNAcentral also lists the same sequence under 1 other name. Lineage: Bacteria; Pseudomonadati; Pseudomonadota; Betaproteobacteria. The record is from RNAcentral.
GGGGCCGAUCCGGAUUCGACGUGGGUCGCGAAACAACUCAGGGCAUGCCGAGCACCAGUAAGCUCGUUAAACCACUGGAACACUACAAACGCCAACGACGAGCGUUUCGCUCUCGCCGCUUAAGCGGUGAGCCGCUGCACUGAUCUGUCCUUGGGUCAGGCGGAGGAAGGCAACUUCCUAGGGGGGCAACCCUCGAACCGCAGCAGCGACAUUCACAAGGAAUCGGUCUGCACUGGGGUCACACGGUUCAGGCUUAAAUUACGUGAAUCGCUCUGGUCCGGCCUGUCGGUUGGCUAAGUCCAGGGUUAAAACCAAAUAGAUCGACUACGCAUGUAGAACUGGUUGCGGAGGGCUUGCGGACGGGGGUUCAAUUCCCCCCGGCUCCACCA